Molecule: ribosomal RNA, 321 nt
Filed under: uncultured Pseudomonadota bacterium
Lineage: Bacteria; Pseudomonadati; Pseudomonadota
Description: bacterial SSU rRNA
Rfam family: Bacterial small subunit ribosomal RNA
Source: RNAcentral
AUUGAACGCUGGCGGCGUGCUUAACACAUGCAAGUCGAGCGGUAACGCGGGAGCAAUCCUGGCGACGAGCGGCGAACGGGUGAGUAAUGCUUCGGAAUCUGCCCUAUAGUGGGGAAUAACCAGCCGAAAGGUUGGCUAAUACCGCAUAAGCCCUUCGGGGGAAAGCAGGGGAUCGUAAGACCUUGCGCUGAUGGAUGAGCCGAAGUCGGAUUAGCUAGUUGGUAGGGUAACGGCCUACCAAGGCGACAAUCCGUAGCUGGUCUGAGAGGACGACCAGCCACACUGGGACUGAGACACGGCCCAGACUCCUACGGGAGGCUG